AAGUAACCCCUUGAUAUUGUCUCUGUACAGUGCAGACCAACUGUGUGGACACAACCAUAACCAACCUGCUGGAGAAUACUGACCAGUUCACCUCGGAGGCGGCUGUGGGCACACCUUCAGGUCCAGCUAAACAAGCAGCUUCUUCCACUCCGUCUGUAACAGAAUCCACACCCAAUUUGAAGCCAGCUGCCAAACCUUUUGGGAGAACACCAAUAGACAGACACAUGUCUCUACAGGAAAGAAAAGAAGCUUUCUACGAAUAUGCAAGAAGACGAUACAUUGAAAAACAUGGACUGAACAAACAGGACGAUCUAUGACCGUGGACAAAGACACACCUGAGGAAUUGUUUAGGAAAGACAGCUGCUUAACACAAAAUCCACACAGACAAAGAAAAAAUUAUAGAGUUGACCCAGAAUGAAACAACAUUUGAGUUCACCAAACAUGCCGAGAGAAGACUGGAUUUUUUCCUUUCUUGUUUUUGUUUCUUUGUAAAUUCUUCUUGCAUGGCAAUCAUGCAUGUCUUUUUAUUUCUCUCUGCAACAGAAAACAAUUAUUUUGGUAAAUUUGUAUUAAGACCCAGUGACCUUGGCACACUUCAUAUUAUUUUUAUAUGGUCCUUGGGUAGAGGAUAGGGGAUCAGAAACAUAGGACAGUGAGCUAAAACACAAUUUGAGGUUCAUUAUGUUGUCAAGGAUACAUGUUGAUGCAAUAUCAGCUUUUAAAGACAUUAAAAAUCAUAUAGAAA
Sinocyclocheilus grahami is the source of this 745-nucleotide long non-coding RNA. RefSeq lists it as uncharacterized. The record is from RefSeq and is a predicted model, not a curated record. Lineage: Eukaryota; Metazoa; Chordata; Actinopteri; Cypriniformes; Cyprinidae. The transcript has 3 exons.